UCCCUACCCAGUUGAAAAAAGACUACUUCUUCCAGAUCUCUCCCCCAUUUUCUACGCUCUCAAACUUUCUUCACUUCAUUUGAAACCAUGUCUCACGCCCUUCUCUUCUUCCAAUGCUCUCCACCUUCAUUUUCCAUCUUCUAGUGAUUUAGGAGAUCAUUGUGUUGCUGCCUCUAUUGACAGCUUUGACGAUUAGUAGACAGCCUCCUUAAUCUUUCUGUUGUUUCACUACCAGGUCUGAGCCACCAAGUUUGUUGUCCAUGCCAUGGCUAGAGGUGAUUGCUAAUCAUCAGAUGACUGUUGGAAACAGGCUGCUGGUGUGAGGAACUUUGCACAUCA
Molecule: long non-coding RNA, 339 nt
Organism: Lycium barbarum (goji berry)
Lineage: Eukaryota; Viridiplantae; Streptophyta; Magnoliopsida; Solanales; Solanaceae
Exons: 3
Source: RefSeq, a predicted model, not a curated record